This 1103-nucleotide ribosomal RNA is filed under the name Bacillus nakamurai. RNAcentral's name for it is "bacterial SSU rRNA". It matches the Rfam family "Bacterial small subunit ribosomal RNA", at positions 144 to 1232 of the family's 1533-position model. Lineage: Bacteria; Bacillati; Bacillota; Bacilli; Caryophanales; Bacillaceae. The record is from RNAcentral.
UAACUCCGGGAAACCGGGGUUAAUACCGGAUAACAUUUUGCACCGCUUGGUGCGAAAUUGAAAGGCGGCUUCGGCUGUCACUUAUAUAUGGACCUGCGGCGCAUUAUCUAUUUGGUGAGGUAACGGCUCACCAAGGCGACGAUGCGUAGCCGACCUGAGAGGGUGAUCGGCCACACUGGGACUGAGACACGGCCCAGACUCCUACGGGAGGCAGCAGUAGGGAAUCUUCCGCAAUGGACGAAAGUCUGACGGAGCAACGCCGCGUGAGCGAUGAAGGCCUUCGGGUCGUAAAGCUCUGUUGUUAGGGAAGAACAAGCGCUAGUUGAAUAAGCUGGCACCUUGACGGCACCUAACCAGAAAGCCACGGCUAACUACGUGCCAGCAGCCGCGGUAAUACGUAGGUGGCAAGCGUUAUCCGGAAUUAUUGGGCGUAAAGCGCGCGCAGGCGGUUUCUUAAGUCUGAUGUGAAAGCCCCCGGCUCAACCGGGGAGGGUCAUUGGAAACUGGGGAGACUUGAGUGCAGAAGAGGAGAGUGGAAUUCCACGUGUAGCGGUGAAAUGCGUAGAGAUGUGGAGGAACACCAGUGGCGAAGGCGACUCUCUGGUCUGUAACUGACGCUGAGGAGCGAAAGCGUGGGGAGCGAACAGGAUUAGAUACCCUGGUAGUCCACGCCGUAAACGAUGAGUGCUAAGUGUUAGGGGGUUUCCGCCCCUUAGUGCUGCAGCUAACGCAUUAAGCACUCCGCCUGGGGAGUACGGUCGCAAGACUGAAACUCAAAGGAAUUGACGGGGGCCCGCACAAGCGGUGGAGCAUGUGGUUUAAUUCGAAGCAACGCGAAGAACCUUACCAGGUCUUGACAUCCUCUGACAAUCCUAGAGAUAGGACGUCCCCUUCGGGGGCAGAGUGACAGGUGGUGCAUGGUUGUCGUCAGCUCGUGUCGUGAGAUGUUGGGUUAAGUCCCGCAACGAGCGCAACCCUUGAUCUUAGUUGCCAGCAUUCAGUUGGGCACUCUAAGGUGACUGCCGGUGACAAACCGGAGGAAGGUGGGGAUGACGUCAAAUCAUCAUGCCCCUUAUGACCUGGGCUACACACGUGCUACAAUG